GGGCGCUGUCCUUAGAGAUCCUCCAAGCUACAGCCCCGGAACUUGAGGCUGGGGGGCACGGGAAUGGCGUUGCCCCCCAAGUGCCAGCUCCACAGCGGGUUUCCAUCUUCUUGCUGAUGGUGGUCCUGGGGAUAUCCUUAAACAGGUCGCUGAGGACCUGGGCCAAAGCAAACAUCUGGGUGCCAUUGAUCUGGUUUUACGAGCCGUUGCUGCGCCUUCCCAAAUCUGCCCCGAUUCCUCUGGGAUGGGUGUGUGUACGUAUAGAUUUAAUAAAGCGUAAAAGAUCCGGCUCUAAGCGAGUUGUUCACAACGAUUGACUCCGCAACAAUUCAUCCUUCAACCUUCAAUGCUUAUUAAUUGCCCAUUGCUGUAUUUAUUAGCUGGCAUGAGCGGGGUAUCCACAAUAACAUCGGUAGCAUGUGCGAAUAAAAGCAACGCGAAGAUAUUUA
Molecule: long non-coding RNA, 449 nt
Organism: Neopsephotus bourkii (Bourke's parrot)
Lineage: Eukaryota; Metazoa; Chordata; Aves; Psittaciformes; Psittacidae
Exons: 3
Source: RefSeq, a predicted model, not a curated record